UGUAUUUCGAAAUAAAUAUAGAUGACAUGUAAAAUAGAAUUGUAUUUGGCGCAAAAGUCUUUGGGAUACGUGGAGUGAACCCCGUGGCGCGUUGUUGUGAUCUAACAUGGCGGAACGUAGUGUUGUGGCUGUUAGAUGUCUAUGUCAAUUUUAGAGUGAUUUCGGAGUAAUAAUACAAAAGCACGGCGAUGAUCCGUAGUUACAGCGUUGAAAGUAUUCGUGUUAGAUAAUCGUGUGAUUGGUAAUAUUUAGGUUGUAAGUGAGCAGGGUGUUGUUCUACAUCGGUUUUCCUCGCCGCGGGAAUAGAACACAGGCGGCAAGAGCGCACACAGGGCUUCGGCUUUUUUAGCAGAACAUUACCUUCCGACCUUUCACGACUACGAGCUUAUUUCAAUGAAUUACUUGAAAUAGGCUUGACGCUUUGUAGGUUUACGUGACUGUGACACGUGCACGGAAGAGCGUGUACUACGCUAACUUUUCCCGCGCGUCCCAAAAGCUUUACUGUUGGCGCAGGUAUCAAGCUUAUGCAACUGACGAGCUUAUAAACAUCUAACAACGGUAAACAAUCUCAUUGUUUCGAGCAUAUACGUCGAAAUAAAAGGUACUUCCAUACGUCGAAUUUCAUUUCUUUAAUAAUAUCAACAGAUUUGAUUAUCGUGCCGUUUAUUAAUAUCGUCGUCAUCGUCGUCGUCAUCGUUUAAAUCUAUCAAUGAAAUAGCUAUUCUUCAUCUAUUAUUUGUGCAGAGAGACACCAAGAGGAUUAAUUCGUCAUUUUGGAUAUACCUAAACAAUUGUUAUUUAUUAUUAAUACCAAUCUAAGUGCAUAUACAUAGAUACACUCAUGGUGAUAUAUGAGUAUUUUAUACUCACUCCUAAUAUUGUAGUUUCUUCGAGACUGACCAAGGAAAUCAUUGAAUUUAGAUGAAUGAGUGGUUAUUCAGAAAAACUUUUUUCUAAUAAGUUAAGACUUCUGACUCUGCUGCUGCUACUGCUGUUACUGUUAUUACAACAACAACAACAUCAACAUCAACAUCAACAACAAGUACAACCGUUCGGCAUUGUGCUAUACCUUAGUGGAUUAUGAGAGAAAUAAUAAAAGUUUGGUAGAUAGAGGAAUUUUUGUGCGUGCAUUUAUUAUUUAAUUGAAAAUUUUGUAAGGAUAGAUAGAACGAAAAGAAAGAGUUGGAAGGAUUAUCUUAAACUUCUAAGGCAUGCGAGCUGGUUGGUGAUAAUACAUUAAAUAAUAAUAAAAAAAAGAAAGUAGCAGCAACUACGCAAGAUAUUUUUGGAAACAUGACGGAUACACGCAGAAGAGUUAAGCUUUAUGCGCUUAAUGCUGACAGACAAUGGGAUGAUCGUGGAACGGGUCAUGUUUCUUCUUCCUAUGUAGAUAGAUUAAAAGGAAUAUCGCUUUUGGUUAGAGCCGAAAGCGAUGGGACUGUCUUGUUGGAAAGUAAAAUACAUCCAGAUACGGCAUAUCAGAAGCAGCAAGAUACCUUAAUAGUAUGGUCGGAGGGUGAUAAUUUUGACCUGGCCUUAAGUUUUCAAGAAAAGGCUGGUUGUGAUGAAAUAUGGGAAAAAAUAUGUCAAGUUCAAGGCAAAGAUCCAUCAGUUGAAAUAACUCAAGAUAUUGUCGAAGAAUCGGAAGAUGAACGCUUCGAUGAUAUGUCAGAUGCCGCACCGCCCAUAGAAUUGCCUCCGUGCGAAUUAAGUCGAUUAGAAGACAUUAAUGAAUUAAUAGGAAAUUGUUUGGCUUCUCCCAUGAGAAAGGAAAAACUUGCAGUGGCAUUGGAGUCUGAAGCGUACAUCAAGAAACUUUUAAAUUUGUUCCAUACUUGCGAGGACUUAGAAAAUAUCGAAGGAUUACAUCAUCUUUAUGAUAUAUUUAAAAAUAUUUUCUUACUUAACAAGAAUGCAUUGUUCGAAGUGAUGUUCAGCGACGAUACAAUUUUUGAUGUUGUUGGAUGUCUGGAAUACGAACCAACAUUGCCUCAACCAAAAAGACAUAGAGAAUAUCUUCGACAAUUAGCAAGAUUUAAACAAGCAAUUCCAAUAACAAAUGCUGAAUUAUUAGCUAAAAUUCAUCAAACGUAUAGAGUUCAAUAUAUACAAGAUGUUGUUUUACCUACUCCUAGUGUAUUCGAAGACAACAUGCUUAGUACAUUGAGUAGUUUUAUAUUUUUUAACAAAGUUGAAAUAGUAACUCUCAUCCAAGACGACGAAAAAUUUCUUACCGAAUUAUUUCGUCAGUUUACGGAUGAAUCUACAUCGGACAAUAAAAGACGUGAUAUGGUACUUUUCUUAAAAGAGUUUUGCAAUUUUUCUCAAAAUCUUCAACCACAAGGCAAGGAAUCAUUUUAUAAAAAUUUAACGGCAUUGGGUAUAUUACCUGCCUUGGAAAUUACAUUGGCAAUAAAUGAUCCGCAAACAAAAACUGCGAGCAUUGACAUAUUGACGUAUAUCGUGGAAUAUUCCCCUAGUGUUGUUAGAGACUAUACAUUGCAGCAGAUAAAUAAUACAGAUCAGGACCAAAUGUUAGUCAAUGUAAUAGUCGCUCAACUAGUCGGGGAUAGCGAUCCUGAAUUGGGUGGAGCAGUACAGUUAGCUGGUGUCUUACGUCUACUUCUUGAUCCAGAAAAUAUGUUGGCUUCAGUCAACAAAUCAGAAAAGACUGAUUUCUUGAAUUAUUUCUAUAAAAAUAGUAUUGGAACACUGAUAGCUCCUUUAUUAGCUAAUACAAUUGGCGAAAGACCGGCAAGAGAAGAUUACAGAACAGUGCAACUUUUAGGCCUGAUAUUAGAGUUAUUAUCAUUUUGUGUAGAACAUCAUACAUACCACAUUAAAAAUUGCAUUUUAAAUAAGGAUUUACUUAGAAAAAUAUUGGUUUUAAUGAAGUCAACGCAUACGUUCUUAGUAUUGUGCGCAUUAAGGUUUAUGAGAAAAAUUAUAGCUUUGAAAGAUGAAUUUUAUAAUAGGUAUAUAGUAAAAGGAAAUUUAUUUGCACCUGUAUUUGAUGCAUUUGUAAGGAAUAACGGUAGAUACAAUUUAUUAGAUUCUGCUAUCUUGGAAAUGUUUGAAUUUAUUAAAUUGGAAGACAUCAAAUCGCUUUGUAUGCACGUUGUAGAAAAGUUUUCUAAAGAACUAGAUGCAAUUGACUAUGUACAAACGUUUAAAGUAUUGAAAUUGAAAUAUGAUCAACAACCGGAUACUAAAGUUAUAAAGGAACACGAAGGUAGCAGAACAACGGUCGACAGGUACAUGUAUUCAAGCGUUCCGUCAAUAUUAAGAAACAGCCGAUAUCGGAGAGAUCAGAGACAGUUAGACGAAGAAGAAGAAAUGUGGUUUAGAGAGGAAGAAGAUUUUGAUGAGGGAGAAGCAGUGGUACCUGCAGCCACUGCAGAUUUGGUACCACCUGCUUCGGCUAAGAAACAAUCUUCAUCUUCUAAUUCUGCCCUCGGGUCUUCCCUUGCAGAAUCGAAAAAUCAUCAACAACAACAGCAACAACAAUCUGUGUUAAAUAAUAAUACAGCAAAUAAUAAUAUAACUCCUCAGCAAACUCAAGUAAACAACAGUACAUCAACAACGAAUGAAACUCCAGUUACACCUGAGAUUACUCCUAGUUCUACCAUUGGUACUGUAGAAAAGGCAGGAAUUAUUAUUAGAAAGGGAUUGGUUGAUUAUGAAGAAGAUUCUGACGAAGAAGAUGAGGAUUCUGGAUUAAGUCCUUCCCCAAAACGACAACGGUUGUCGUGGUAGAUGUACUGGGAAUAUAUUAAAAGAAUGUGCGAUUUCCAAAGUUUAUAGUCAAAUAUGGCCCUCAUUAUGUGCACAAAAAGUUGAUCGAAAAGGUUAUACAAUCUAUUAAUUUACAGUAAGAAAAGAGUACUGAUUGUACUGUAUUCGCUGAUCUGAGUGAUAGACGCAAUGAAUAAGUGCUUUGUUAAAACAUACAACGCGUGAUGAACUUUUACAUAUUUUUUUUCUUUCUUUAAUUGUGUAUAUUAAACAAAGAGAUGAAUGUGUGAGAAGACAGUGAUUGGGAAAUAAUGUAGAAACAAAAAUAAUAAUAAUAAAAAAAACAAAUAAUUAAAUAAAGGAAUAAACGUAUUGGACAACAGGAUUGACAGGACAAGAAAGUGAAGGUAAAACUGAAAAAUAAUUGUAUUAUUAUAUUGCCGAAAAUAUCAGGAGCGUUUACUCAUUAAUUUAACUGAAUUUCAAAAUGGAUUAAUGAUGAUUUAUUCCAAUUAAAUGCAAAUCUGUUAAGUAGGGAUACAUUUUCUCAGAUGAUAAGGUGAAAUAUUCUCAACCUCGUGAAUUCUCUAGACAUUGGUGUCUCAAUAAUACACUUGAGUCUAGAUUAAUAAAUCUAUAAACUGUGACUAUAAUAUUGACAUGUACGAGUUCAUUGGAAAACAGGAACUUACUACAAGUCGUGUAAAGAACCAUUUUCGGAUGUUUAAGUACAUGAUCUACAAACCGCACAAAAACAGUUUGUGUCUUUGCCAUCCACGGUUUAAAAUUAGUGGUACGAGCGAUUGAAAUCUGUUUUUGCUAGGGUCAGGAAGCCACGAAUCUUUAUCCAACUACGGAAAUAAUAUUUAGUUUGUAUAUAUAUGUAUAUUUGUAACGAUUGUAAAACGACCACAUACUUGGAUUAAGCAGAAAAUAUGCGACUACUUCACAAUCUCAGUUUCCUUCAAGAUACAUUUGAAGACUUUUUUGGUUAUCAAUGGCAAAAUGAGAAGCCUGGAAUAAUCUUUGUGCACUGAGAAAAAAAAAGAACAAGAAAGAAAGAAUGUCUUAUUUAUAAAAAAUAUUCAUAUCUACUUACAUUAUGUUAUGUAGUAGAGCCGUGAGAUGAGAAUAAUCUCGGAUACUGCAAUGUGUAAUCUUAAUUUGUCAUAAAAAUUGAGAUUCUGUACGAUCAUGAGAAUAACAGGAAAAACGCCAGCUCCAGAAAAGAGUGUCUACUUUUCUAGUUUAAAUCCGUAAUUUUUAAAACAUAGUUAAGAUCUAUAGCGAAGAUGAAUCUAUUACUUUUGACUAAAAUCAUUUAAACUAGAGCAGGCCUUAUAUACAGUGACCAAUUUGAAAAUAAAUUAUUGCCUUACCGAUUGAGUUGACUUUAUAAAAAAGAAAAGAAAAACAAACAAACGAAGAGUAUUAUAAGCUAAUGUACAGAGUUUUCAAUACGUCUAACAUAAAUGAAUUUCCAAGACUGUUGUAUAAUUGUAAGUAUGAAUGUUGAAAUUUUUGUGAUGUCGUAAGAGCAUAUACAUAUGCACAUAUAUAAUUGACAAACUUUAACCGACAGGCGCAUAUAUUAACUUAUGAUACUACAAAAGGAAGGUGAUAGCGAAGUUAAUUCGUUCAUCGAGAUUAGUAAUAUUGUGAAUAAUAAAUUCAAGUAGGCAAAUUCGCUGGAGCUGAGUAAAAUGUGUGUAUAUAUAUAAAAUGUUGUUAAUUCUGAAAUGACCACAGAAAAUAAAAUAAUGUAACUGAAAAUACAUAUAUUAAUUAGAUAGUUAAGAUAACAACAGAAUAUUGAGUAAUGUAUUUCCGUGUGUUUUGCAUAUAUUCACAAUUUAUUCCGUAAAUAAGGAAGAGAAUAUUCUUAGAGGCAUAGAUUAUGCUACAUUUGGGUGCGGCGAAUGUAAGUAAAUUAAUAAACGGAUGAAUUUAAUACCUAAGUGAUACUAAAGUAAAGAUGCAAUCAUAUGCUAUUUAAAUUAUACUCAAUGUAUUUUUGUACAGAGUGUGUUUAAGGCUUUGUCGCUAUCAUUUUCCAUUAUUUUUUUAAUAUGCUUCCACAUCAUGAACAGUCGAAAUAUAUUAUGCGUUUAUAGCAUAAUGUUUCUACUUAAUAGUUUCAUAUACAUUUUUUUUCUUUAUUCUACUAUACUCUUUAAGAAUAAUCUUAAUUGAGAGUAUAUAUAUAUUUAUAGAAAGAUACGCAAUAGAUAGAAAAGAGCAAAGGGGAAUAAAGGGGGAUGUCAAAUUCCUAUACUUUUUUUAGGAAGAAUUUAUCGUUAGACCGUCUUAAGUUCCAAUAUUUUAUUUUUUAUUUCAUCAUAUGUUAACUAAUUCAUUUCAAAGAGAGCGAAGAUAAAAAUAGAACUAAAGAAUUAAUAAUAAAAUUUAAAAAAAAAAGGAAAAAAAAAGAAAGAAAGGAAGAAAUACAUGAACAAAAAAAAAUAUUCGUAGAUUGUGAUCUACGAAAAAAGUCACCAAAUUUUAAUCAUAUCGUAAAACGUUACGCAAGACAUCCGUUAGAAGAAUUAAGUUGUAAAUAUGUGAAGAAAAAAAAAAGAAAGAAAAAAAGCAGCACCUUUCAGGAGUACUCUUGAAAAUUUUCAUUUAAAGUCGAGAAAUCUAAAAAAAAAAAAGAAAGAAAAAAAAAGAAUAUAUUGUCCGGCUGUUUGUUACCAAAAUUGUUGUAUUCAAUAUUACACAAAUCAUCACAUUGAUGUAACAUUUAUCAAAGAACGGAAGUUUUGCACAUUGUACAAUUACCACGUGCUAAUAAUAAUAAUAAUAAUAAUAAUAAUAAUAUUGAUAUUAAAUAUUAAAGAUAACGACGUACGUUUUACAUUUAAAAUACCAGCGAAAUGUGACAUAUAUCAUUUUUAUUUUUCAUUUUUUUUCUCUCUCUAACAUGUACCCAAGUAGAAAAUAAAAUACACAGACAGACAGUCACGUAUACACAUACCACACAUAAUAAAGAGACAGAGAAGAUUUUUUAUAAGAAAAUCCUGUUCACGAAUUCUGUAAGCUAAUACGAACGAUUAUAUGAAAGAAAAUGAAUGUGUAUUUACGACGAUAAAAUAUGUGAAUGGACUAUAAACGAAAGAUCAUAUUUUGCAUUUUAUUCUGUCGGUGAAUGAAUGAUGCGAUGAGAUUAAAUUAAACUAAGCCGAAUAUUAAAUUACACAGGCAGAAUAAGUAGCAUAUAACAAGCAACGUUGUAAAAAAGACAAACAUAUAUUUAAAAAACAAAACAACAAAUUUAAUGCAACAGGUAUAUUUGGAUUAUCAAACGAAAGAGAGAGUAUCUUAUAAGAGUCGAUUAAUUCGAAUUUACGUAUAUCUUAUUUAAUGAAUCAUUAAAUAAAGAAAUGUUGAUCGACUUUUAAAAGAAUUUACAAUAAUUUAUUUUUAACGUUUAAUCAGAGUGUAAUUUUUAACGUUAUUGCUUUGCGUGAUAUAUGAUUUUCGUUAGACGUUAGCAUUGUUCUCAUUUUUGUAACAUUAUCAUAUCUUUUUCGUUUCUUUUUUUGAUUCUUUGUUUUUUCUUUUUUAUUUUUAAUUAUUGUCAAUAUACUUUAAAAAUCUAAUUUACAUCGUGUUAUAUGUGUAAUUAAUGUGUACAUAUUGUUAUGAUAAUAAUAAUUACAAGAUUACACAUUAAAAUACUUAUUGCUUGUUUAUUGCUACAAAAAUCUGUCUUUAUUAAAUAUUAAAUUUGGUCACAUAAAAAGAGGCGAAAAUGAACGAACGACUGAAACCCAAAAUAUGUCUGGUGUAGAAGUGCGAACAAUAUUUAAUUAAAUAAAAUUUAAAUUUAGAUGAAA
This 7574-nucleotide unclassified non-coding RNA is filed under the name Polistes canadensis. Its description in RNAcentral is "serine/threonine-protein phosphatase 4 regulatory subunit 3, transcript variant X5". The record is from RNAcentral. Lineage: Eukaryota; Metazoa; Arthropoda; Insecta; Hymenoptera; Vespidae.